This 487-nucleotide ribosomal RNA is filed under the name uncultured bacterium. RNAcentral's name for it is "partial 16S ribosomal RNA". It matches the Rfam family "Bacterial small subunit ribosomal RNA", at positions 28 to 507 of the family's 1533-position model. The record is from RNAcentral.
GAUGAACGCUAGCGAUAGGCUUAACACAUGCAAGUCGAGGGGCAGCACAAGGUAGCUUGCUAUCUGGGUGGCGACCGGCGCACGGGUGCGUAACGCGUAUGCAACUUGCCCUAUACAGGAGGAUAACCCGUCGAAAGACGGACUAAUACUGCGUAUGCUCACAACUUGGCAUCAAGUGGUGAGGAAAGAAAUUCGGUAUAGGAUAGGCAUGCGUCCCAUUAGCUUGUUGGUGAGGUAACGGCUCACCAAGGCAACGAUGGGUAGGGGAACUGAGAGGUUUAUCCCCCACACUGGUACUGAGACACGGACCAGACUCCUACGGGAGGCAGCAGUGAGGAAUAUUGGUCAAUGGGCGCGAGCCUGAACCAGCCAAGUCGCGUGAAGGAUGACUGUCUUAUGGAUGGUAAACUUCUUUUAGACGGGAAUAACAAGAGUCACGGGUGACUCCCUGCAUGUACCGUAUGAAUAAGCAUCGGCUAACUCCGUG